CCUACGGGAGGCAGCAGUGAGGAAUAUUGGUCAAUGGGCGAGAGCCUGAACCAGCCAAGUCGCGUGAAGGAUGACGGCCCUACGGGUUGUAAACUUCUUUUGUCCGGGAGCAAUUGGGUCCACGCGUGGGCUUAGCGAGAGUACCUGAAGAAAAAGCAUUGGCUAACUCCGUGCCAGCAGCCGCGGUAAUACGGAGGAUGCGAGCGUUAUCCGGAUUUAUUGGGUUAAAGGGGUGCGUAGGCGGAAUAUCAAGUCAGCGGGAAAAAUUCGGGGCUCCACCCCGUCGUGCCGUUGAAACUGAUGUUCUUGAGUGGGCGAGAAGUAUGCGGAAUGCGUGGUGUAGCGGUGAAAUGCAUAGAUAUCACGCAGAACUCCGAUUGCGAAGGCAGCAUACCGGCGCCCAACUGACGCUGAAGCACGAAAGCGUGGGUAUCGAACAGGAUUAGAUACCCGAGUAGUC
Molecule: ribosomal RNA, 460 nt
Filed under: uncultured bacterium
Lineage: Bacteria
Description: partial 16S ribosomal RNA
Rfam family: Bacterial small subunit ribosomal RNA
Source: RNAcentral